This 364-nucleotide unclassified non-coding RNA is filed under the name uncultured bacterium. RNAcentral's name for it is "contains 16S-23S intergenic spacer region". The record is from RNAcentral.
UCCGACUUGAAGCCGGCAGUCUCAUGUGAAAAAUACAACACAUGACAUGGGUUGCGCUCGUUUACGGACUUAACCGAACACCUCAAGGCACGAGCUGACGACAACCAUGCAGCACCUGUCACCGGGUUCCUUGCGGCACAACCACCUUUCGGCAGUCUUCCCGGGAUGUCAAGUCUUGGUGAGGUUUUCCGCUUAUUGUCGAAUUAAACCAGAUGCUCCACCGCUUGUGUGGGUCCCCGUCUAUUCCUUUGAGUUUUAAUCUUGCGAUCGUACUACCCAGGCGGAUAACUUAUCGCGUUAGCUUAGUCACUGAAGGGGUCGAAUCCUCCAACAACGAGUUAUCAUAGUUUAGGGCGUGGACUAC